RNAcentral lists this long non-coding RNA (2787 nucleotides) under Scophthalmus maximus (turbot). RNAcentral describes it as "lncRNA (ENSSMAG00000021887.1)". Lineage: Eukaryota; Metazoa; Chordata; Actinopteri; Pleuronectiformes; Scophthalmidae. The record is from RNAcentral.
GUGCCCUUGCACGUCAGGCCAUCAGCCAACCUAAUGAUAUUUCCCCUGCGAGGGUCCUUUCCCAACAGACACGUCUGAGCGAGAACAGCGAUCUGUAUGUGACCUGCAGCACAUUCGGGUUAAAGAAACCCUCCUGGAUUUUUGUUUAUUUGUGUAAGGACGGCGUCGGAAUCCGAAAAAUGGUGCAGAAGGCAGAUCAAAUCGAUAGCACCUUCAUCGUGAGCGGAGUCGGCCCUGCUGACAGUGGAAACUACAGCUGCGGUUACUCCAGCGAAGAGUAUGCUCCUUCCGAAGUAGCAGCUCGAGGACACAACAUCAUCCAGAUUCUGGUUAUAGCUAAUUUUCUCCCAGCACACAUCACGUUGGCGCGGCCGUCCGCAGUCAGCGAGGGCGACGCUGUCGAAUUCAGAUGCACUGUGCCUGACACCCUGCAAACACUCGGCGGAUGUCAACUCAUCCCGUCUUAGCUGAGGAAGAACGAGACCAUCCUCCAAGUGCAAGCGUUUCAUGUCAAACGGAUGGAGACGACUUUCACCAUCGAGCGUGCCGUCGCGAGGGAUUCGGGUCCCUACACUUGCGUGGUGCUGCCGUCUGCAUGCAUCCGAGAGCACGAAAACACUCUCAAUGGAAGUAAUGCAGUGUUGCUCGAGGUCAAGGCGAGCGUCCUUCUCCGAGUGAUUGUCAGCUGUGGCGUGAUAACCCUGUUGUUGAUGGGUCUGUUGUGGAUCGCAAACAGACACGGUUGGAUGAUAAACCAUUUUUCUUCGUACAAUCCAGGCACAACGAGCCAACAGGCAGACACAGACAUGUGGGAGGAAGAGCAGGAGCAGACGGAGGGAGACUAUCUGGAAGCAGAAGACGGAGAAUCUCUCCGCAUGGAGGAGGAGGAAGAGUAUCAGAAUGAAAUUGAAGCUGAUGAAUUCUUCAACGGUUGUGAUACAGAGGGAGAAGCAGUGUACUCUGUCCCAGAUGAUUCACCGAGUCGAGCAUCUUGGUAUGCUGCAUCCUUCAAGAAGAAAAAACACAUGAUCAACCGCCCGCCUGGUUUUACAGUCGGUUAAAAGCAGAACUGGCACCCGCUUGUGUCGCAAGUGUGUCAGAAAUAUUAAGAUAUACAUCCGUGUGUUUGUAUACAUGAAAAAUGAAAGCGUUUGAGUCAUCAUUCUGUGGAUUCAUUUUAUUCUGAAUUAAACAGUGUAGAAUACAAAGGUUUGCUCUCCAGUCUCUUUUGUUGAGUCCACUUUCCAGACACAUACAGUGUAGCACGUACACAAUUAUGCUUUUUUGAAUUAUAAGGAUUUUCACUCAACUCAAACCCAGUUUUUGAUACUAUCGAUAGUCGUCAUAUUUAAUGCCGUAUCCAUUAAAUGCAUCUGCAUUCAGUAAUUACAACGAUGUUGGUGUUCUCAUUGUUAGUGGCUGGGUGCAAAUUGCCAAUAUGCACACGAGGGAUUCGCAGGAAAUUAUACAUGCGUGUAAUCCAGCAGAACUCUUUGUAACUCACUGAUAACAGCCGAGCCGGAGCUGUCGCUAGCCAUGCCGACUCAACAUCACCUACUGCAGUUGCUUCAUAUUAACAGCAUCCAGCCAGCGGAAUACAGGGUGGGCUUUUGUUGUAAUGUAAUGUAUUUGUCCUCUCGGACACGGGACUUCAGCUUCAUCAAUAAUGUGUCUGCAAGACAAGAUUCCUGUGCAUCACAAAAGUAUUUUAUGAUUCUGAAGAUGUCUUUCUAUUUUAGAUCCAAAGGGGUUUUAGUAAUGACUCACGCAACACAGACUUUAACAGAGAGAAGGUGGCAGAGGGAAUAUUGAUUGAGACAAACGUUGUGCAUACAAGUGUCCUCUGAGACAAAAGCUCCCCAAUCUGUGUGCGCAGUCAAAAUAUUUUCAUGCACUUUUAUUAAAUGUGCAUCAAAUGUCUGGAUGCUGCACACCGGUCAUUUCAAAUAUGUGACAUAAUAUGUGAUUUUUGAGAACCAUUAAAAAACCGCCCAUCUCCCUCUUUGUUGUCUGCCCGUGUUAAAGGUCAACCCCGGAGUUCGGUGACCCUCUGUGACAGGACGUCGCGCAACGUCAGAGUUUCGGGCUGAGGGACAGAACAGAUCAAGAGGAGCGUCCAGUGGGUUAGUCGGGGCUCCUCUCCUCCCCGCUGCCAUUACUGCAAUGGAGAAGCCUCUACUUUGUUAUCAGACAAAGGCAGCGCCUGUGUGCAUUUCAGUCUACCAGUCUUUUUUAGAUUACUACCACCAGAUGGAGCCACAGCUUCAAAUAUCAUAUUAUAUCGCUGCAAAAAGUGGAUUUUACGGUCACUUAAACUGCUCUAACUGAGUCUGUUGGGUGUAUUCCCUGUGAUUUUUUUUUUCUAAACAUGCAUGUAUCGUGUUAGAUACAAACUCUCUGUACUUCAUGGUAGUCAGCUGGAAUUUGUAGUAACUUUCUUGUAAUGUGUGUCUGCUGCAUGCAUUGAUCUUGAAUGAGAUAGUGAAUGUAGAUGUGCCUGCCAAAACUUAAUCUAGAUUGUAUCACACUGUUUGAUUCACCCUGCCCUUCACUGGUCCAUUAUCUUUGUUACACAACCAAACUUUACCCUGCAUGGAUUCCAGUUAUGUAACAAAGGUCUGGAUUUGUAAUACCCGUGCUGCACCUCAACAGGCACUCUGACCUAGUGUUAGUUUCCUCAAAGAACUAAGGGAGAUAACAAUUUAAAUUACCCCGCAUUCGAUUAAAUUGAGCUAAAAAUCUUAAACGACGUGAUGGUAUUUUUAGUAGAAAGAGCAGGACAGAAUU